GUGGGGAAUAUUCCGCAAUGGACGAAAGUCUGACGGAGCAACGCCGCGUGAGUGAUGAAGGUUUUCGGACUGUAAAGCUCUGUUGUUUAGGACGAAAGUGCCUGUUGCGAACAGUUACAGGCAUUGACGGUACUAAACGAGGAAGCCACGGCUAACUACGUGCCAGCAGCCGCGGUAAUACGUAGGUGGCAAGCGUUGUCCGGAAUUAUUGGGCGUAAAGAGCAUGUAGGCGGAGAUUUAAGUCUGUUGUGAAAAUGGGGGGCUCAACCCCGUAUUGCGAUGGUAACUGAAUUUCUUGAGUGCAGGAGAGGAAAGGGGAAUUCCCAGUGUAGCGGUGAAAUGCGUAGAUAUUGGGAGGAACACCAGUGGCGAAGGCGCCUUUCUGGACUGUGUCUGACGCUGAGAUGCGAAAGCCAGGGUAGCGAACGGGAUUAGAUACCCGAGUAGUCC
RNAcentral lists this ribosomal RNA (450 nucleotides) under uncultured bacterium. Its description in RNAcentral is "partial 16S ribosomal RNA". It matches the Rfam family "Bacterial small subunit ribosomal RNA", at positions 354 to 796 of the family's 1533-position model. The record is from RNAcentral.